Molecule: ribosomal RNA, 501 nt
Filed under: uncultured bacterium
Lineage: Bacteria
Description: partial 16S ribosomal RNA
Rfam family: Bacterial small subunit ribosomal RNA
Source: RNAcentral
AUUGAACGCUGGCGGCAUGCCUUACACAUGCAAGUCGAGCGGGGGAAGGUAGCUUGCUACCGGACCUAGCGGCGGACGGGUGAGUAAUGCUUAGGAAUCUGCCUAUAAGUGGGGGACAACAUCCCGAAAGGGAUGCUAAUACCGCAUACGUCCUACGGUCGAAAGCAGGGCAGCUUCGGACCUUGCGCUAAUAGAUGAGCCUAAGUUGGAUUAGCUAGUUGGUGGGGUAAAGGCCUACCAAGGCGAGGAUUUGUACCGGGUCUGAGAGGAUGAUCCGCCACACUGGGACUGAGACACGGCCAAGACUCCUACGGGAGGCAGCAGUGGGGAAUAUUGGACAAUGGGGGGAACCCUGAUCCAGCCAUGCCGCGUGUGUGAAGAAGGCCUUAUGGUUGUAAAGCACUUUAAGCGAGGAGGAGGCUACUCUAGUUAAUACCUAGGGAUAGUGGACGUUACUCGCAGAAUAAGCACCGGCUAACUCUGUGCCAGCAGCCGCCGUAA